AACCAGAAUUUAUAGAAAGAUUAACAGAUUCCCUAGGUGUAGCUAAAAGUGCAUUAUCUUUUUGAUUAAAAGAUAGGACCUCAGCUAUAGAAAAGGGUUGGUUUUGACCUAUUGCAAUCAACUCCGGACACAGAUCAUAAUUAGGGGCAGGACUUGUUGACUCCCAUGGCCUAUGGCUGGUCUCUGAAGGUGCAAAAAAUUCAAUAAUAGGUGUAGAAUUUAAGUUAUCCAUAAAGAUGGAAAAAAUAAAAAGAUAAAAGAAUAAAUGUAUAAAAGUAUGAUACAAGAUAAUAGCAAGACUUAAAGUUAUCUCAGCAAACCAUCUUUCUCCCC
Molecule: long non-coding RNA, 333 nt
Filed under: Sorghum bicolor (sorghum)
Lineage: Eukaryota; Viridiplantae; Streptophyta; Magnoliopsida; Poales; Poaceae
Description: long non-coding RNA (SBIC_LNC016182)
Source: RNAcentral